RNAcentral lists this ribosomal RNA (239 nucleotides) under uncultured Paenibacillus sp. RNAcentral describes it as "partial 16S ribosomal RNA". It matches the Rfam family "Bacterial small subunit ribosomal RNA", at positions 355 to 586 of the family's 1533-position model. Lineage: Bacteria; Bacillati; Bacillota; Bacilli; Caryophanales; Paenibacillaceae. The record is from RNAcentral.
UAGGGAAUCUUCCGCAAUGGACGCAAGUCUGACGGAGCAACGCCGCGUGAGUGAUGAAGGUUUUCGGAUCGUAAAGCUCUGUUGCCCUAGACGAACAGCAAGAGGAGUAACUGCCUUUUGUGUGACGGUAUAGGAGAAGAAAGCCCCGGCUAACUACGUGCCAGCAGCCGCGGUAAUACGUAGGGGGCAAGCGUUGUCCGGAAUUAUUGGGCGUAAAGCGCGCGCAGGCGGUCAUUUAA